RNAcentral lists this long non-coding RNA (271 nucleotides) under Mytilus galloprovincialis (Mediterranean mussel). The record is from RNAcentral. Lineage: Eukaryota; Metazoa; Mollusca; Bivalvia; Mytilida; Mytilidae.
GAGUUAUAAAGGGGUCCAUAUGGUCACUGUACACCCUCCUGUUUGAGAACUUAUAUGUAUGGGACAAGAUAACACAUUAAAUGAAAUAUAAGGGUAGUCCCUAGGGUCACCCACCCCCUCUUGUGUGUGUUUUGAGAACUUGUAUAAGAUUGAAAAUACCAAUCCUAAACUAAACCAUAUUCAUUCGUGUUUGUCAUUUCAAAAAGAUUGAAUGACAUACAAUGUCAAUCUCAUGGACGUCACAUAUGCAUGUCACUUUGCUAGACCUAAC